UACGUAGGGGGCAAGCGUUGUCCGGAUUUAUUGGGCGUAAAGGGCGCGCAGGCGGCUCUGAAAGUCAGAUGUGAAAGCCCCGGGCUUAACCUGGGAAUUGCGCUUGAUACUCUGAGACUGGAGUACGGGAGAGGAGAGUGGAAUUCCCAGUGUAGAGGUGAAAUUCGUAGAUAUUGGGAAGAACACCAGUGGCGAAGGCGGCUCUCUGGACCGUAACUGACGCUGAGGCGCGAAAGCGUGGGGAGCAAACAGG
RNAcentral lists this ribosomal RNA (253 nucleotides) under uncultured bacterium. Its description in RNAcentral is "partial 16S ribosomal RNA". It matches the Rfam family "Bacterial small subunit ribosomal RNA", at positions 524 to 776 of the family's 1533-position model. The record is from RNAcentral.